CUCGUAUGGGGACCUUCUGAGUCUGGGGCCCUGGGCGCCUGCAUGGCUUUCACACCCAUGAAGAGGUGCUGACAAGGUUAUAGCCCUGGCCGAAUCCACCACCAAGUCCAAGGUCAAAUCCUUCGGCUCUGUGUUCCUCCCUCCACAUUUGUGCUCAUGUGGUCCCAGGACUGCCUUUUCCUCUCCUCUGGUCCUGGUUCACCUCUCUAACUUGCCCCGGGUGCUCAAGAAGAUCAAGAAAUGGCGAAGAAACAGCUGCGGAGAGGGGACACGCCUUGGAGCACGCGGCUGCUGACCACAACAGCGGGGACUUGGUUCAAUAGGGGGCUGUGAAGCCCUUAGCCCCU
Molecule: long non-coding RNA, 347 nt
Organism: Eptesicus fuscus (big brown bat)
Lineage: Eukaryota; Metazoa; Chordata; Mammalia; Chiroptera; Vespertilionidae
Exons: 3
Source: RefSeq, a predicted model, not a curated record